AAGAUCCUGCGAUGUACGUAAGGCCGUAAAUGUUUCUAACCUUAUACGUGUUUUUCGGGAGACGGAAAUUUGUGAUGGAUGUCAGGCCCACCUCCCUUUUGGGGAUGCAUGGGAAGGCUGAAGGGCAGAAGGGUCACCCACCUGUGUGAGCGCAGGUUAUAGAAACAUGAGGUCAACGGCAAAGCGGGGACUUG
Molecule: non-coding RNA, 194 nt
Organism: Brevibacillus parabrevis
Lineage: Bacteria; Bacillati; Bacillota; Bacilli; Caryophanales; Paenibacillaceae
Source: Rfam